This 497-nucleotide ribosomal RNA is filed under the name uncultured bacterium. Its description in RNAcentral is "partial 16S ribosomal RNA". It matches the Rfam family "Bacterial small subunit ribosomal RNA", at positions 28 to 507 of the family's 1533-position model. The record is from RNAcentral.
GAUGAACGCUGGCGGCGUGCCUAAUACAUGCAAGUCGAGCGAACGGACGAGAAGCUUGCUUCUCUGAUGUUAGCGGCGGACGGGUGAGUAACACGUGGAUAACCUACCUAUAAGACUGGGAUAACUUCGGGAAACCGGAGCUAAUACCGGAUGAUAUUUUGAACCGCAUGGUUCAAAAGUGAAAGACGGUCUUGCUGUCACUUAUAGAUGGAUCCGCGCUGCAUUAGCUAGUUGGUAAGGUAACGGCUUACCAAGGCAACGAUGCAUAGCCGACCUGAGAGAGUGAUCGGCCACACUGGAACUGAGACACGGUCCAGACUCCUACGGGAGGCAGCAGUAGGGAAUCUUCCGCAAUGGGCGAAAGCCUGACGGAGCAACGCCGCGUGAGUGAUGAAGGUCUUCGGAUCGGAAAACUCUGUUAUUAGGGAAGAACAUAUGUGUAAGUAACUGUGCACAUCUUGACGGUACCUAAUCAGAAAGCCACGGCUAACUACGUG